AAGGGAAAUUAUUAAAACAAAAAAUAAAGAGAAAUACUAUUAACACCUAGGAUCAAAACAGUAUUAUUAUCAGCCAUUUAGGUCUUUGAAAGGGUUUUUUUAAAGAAUAUUUUUUCAUAAUCAGAGGGAUACAUGCUCACAGUCUGUGACAAUUCUCCGAGCUAGUGUGGCAAAUGCCCUUUUGCUUCUAGUAAUCUAAACUAAUACCAGCAGAAGCAAAACCUACUUCUCUAUCUUUGCUGUACACUGUCUAUUCUUAUGGGUUCAGCUCCACCAACCAACUGCAGAAAGUGUUAGAAGAUUUUCAGUCAUAAUGAUUAUGUUCUGAACCAGCAUCUAUUUCAGAUAAAAUAAGCAGCUUGCAUGUUAUUGUGGAGCAGCAAAGCCAUGACUAUGAUACUCCCUAUGGACCAGCUUUCAUCAUAAAGCGGUGUGAAGCUCAGGCGGCUCUGAAGCUUUGGAUUCAGAUCAGCAUAGCCAAGGAUUCUGCCAAUGACCUGCAGGCAAAGAAAUGCAGCUGGAUGGGAUGUCUUCUUCCUGGGAUCAUCCACCCCUGCAGUUGUGCUGCCCUCCCUCUAUGCCACGGCCAGGGUAGUGAGGCGAUUGAGGGGAGCUGCAGCUGCGUGGGGGGCUGCCUGCCUUACCUCACGAUGACAGGCACUGCCUGUGUCCAAGCCUGUGAGGUACUUCAGACUCACAGCAAACUCUCCGUUUCAUUACUGAAAUAACCUCCAAUCAGAGCUCUAAAUGGAAAAAACCCCACAUUUGGAAAUGAAGAUCUCUCUUGCACAACUCCCGGGGAUGUCCACGUGCCACCUGCAGAAAGCAGAGCAACGGGACCGUAAUAGUAUGCAUAAAACAUCGUGUACCAGUGAGCUCUCGUCUGCACAGAGGAAAUCAUCACUUUCAGGGCUGGAGGGUGUAAUUAAAUUGCCUGCCAUGUAGCCCAAGGGAAUAAAUAGAAAGUGUCAAAAUCGUUUCUGUGUGAAAAACCUAGGGGUCACCAAAAUCCAUAGGUUUCACUGAAACCUUCAGUUAGGAACACUUAAUCUAAAAAUGCUUAUCUAUGUAGCAAUGUGAAUUAGAAUUAAAUACUAGAACUACUAGAAUAUUACUAGCAUAACUAGGUAACUUGAUUUUUUGCUUCAAAAUAACUUUCACGUCAAAGUCUCUAUAAGUUCUUAAUAUUACAAUAUAUAAAACAAAGAUUUGGACAUGUUAUAUUUAAGAUAAAUUAAAUCUAACUAGCCAAAAAAGAAUUAAAUAUUUUGCCCCAAAAGUUUGAAUUUUCAGAGUCUUUAUAUUGUUCUCAAGGAGAAAUGAACACAUUUUCAAAAUCAUGGUAAAACAGUUACAGCUGCUGAAGAAGCCAAGUGGCAUUUUACACACUAAUUAGUUGAAGAUUUUCUGAGUUAGUUUACUCCACGUAAAGAAUAAACCACUCCAACACUCAAUGUCCAGCAGUUACCAGUUUGUGCUCUGUCUUGUGUAGGUUCACAGAAACUCCUUCACUGCUUUUGUUCAGAAAAUAGUUUGUAGAAUCAUAGAAUAGUUUGGGUUGGAAGGGUAAAGUUCAUCUAGUUCCAAUCCCCCUGCCAUGGGCAGGGACACCUCCCACUAGAUCAGGCUGCCCGAGGUCCCAUCCAACCUGGCCUUGAACAUCUUCAAGGAUGGGGCGUCCACAACCUCCCUGGGCAACCUGUGCCAGGGCCUCACCGCCUUCAUGGUGAAGAAAUUCCUCCUUAUGUCUAGUAUAAGUCUGUCCCUCUCCAGUUUAUAGCCAUUCCCCUCCGGUCCUGUCACUACAAGCCUUUGUGAACAGACCCUCCCCAGUUUUCUUGUAGGCCCCUUUCACGUACUGGAAGGUCACUAUAAGGUCUCCUCAGAGCCUUCUCUUCUCCAGGCUGAACAAGCCCAACUCUCUCAGCCUGUCCUCGUAUGGGAGGUACUCCAGUCCUCUGAUCGUCCUUGUAGACCUCAGUUCCAUAUCCUCUUAUGCUGAGUAUUCCAGAACUGGACACAGUACUGCAGAUGAGGUCUCACAAGAGAGGAAUAGAGGGGCAGAAUCACUUCCCUUGACCUGCUGGCCACGCUUCUGUUUAGACAGUGUGGUGGCUGAAAUAAGUCCAAAGCUUGUAGCACUAGACACUAGACUGUGCCUAGAUCCAAGAUGCUGAUACUCCAUAUCCUGAGUGAAAGAGCUGUCAUGUGACUGCUCACUCUCAUGUUGCAGAAUCUGGCAGGGCCUGAAAUGCUACUUUUUAAAAACUAUUUAUUUUUAUUAGGCCUUCAAUGCUUUGCAGCUUGGCUUGGAGUUGGAGGGAGAGGCUUUUCAGGUCCAGUUCUUUGACAUAAUAGCAUUUAUUGCCGUGAACUCUUAUUUUACUUUCUGCACUGCGUGAUCGUGAAAUCUACAACUGAUAGAGUGAGCUGGUACUAUUGGGCUGUGGCAUAUGGUGUCCUCUGAGAUUUAUGUGGCUUUUAUUACUGUACUGGGACUUACUGUAAUUUAAAAAAAAAAAAAGAGUGUAAGAUCAAGGUCUAUUUGUAAUCAUGAGUUUUGUUUGUACUUAUGGCAAACUCGACAA
This is a long non-coding RNA of Cuculus canorus (common cuckoo), 2588 nucleotides long. RefSeq lists it as uncharacterized. The transcript has 3 exons. Lineage: Eukaryota; Metazoa; Chordata; Aves; Cuculiformes; Cuculidae. The record is from RefSeq and is a predicted model, not a curated record.